AUGUACUACUUGUACACUCCGGUUCCUGCGCUCCGCCGCCCCCGCCUGAAAGCCG
Molecule: small RNA, 55 nt
Filed under: Gammaproteobacteria bacterium
Lineage: Bacteria; Pseudomonadati; Pseudomonadota; Gammaproteobacteria
Description: partial sX9 sRNA
Rfam family: Xanthomonas sRNA sX9
Source: RNAcentral